UACGCUCCAAAUAUAGACCACAGUGACUCUGGAUGGCGUGAUGGAUGUCCGUCUACAGACAUCUGGGAGUCUGAAAGAAAAACCGCCUCAUUGUCUCGAUAACGUCAGUUCCACUUUGCCGGGAAUUUGCAGGAUGCUGCUCUGAAGUCAUUCCAAGGCUGUCUCUCGCAUCCAGAUCAUCCAUCCAUCUUUAUAAGCUCCUUAUCCUCUUCAGGGUCAUAGGAGGCUGUUACUAUUUGCAGGCACACACAGGGUAACCAGUGGAAUACCUCAGGAAGACACAGUACUCAGAUGGAUACACUUUGAAACAUCCAGAACUACAACCAGAAACCUCC
This is a long non-coding RNA of Solea senegalensis (Senegalese sole), 335 nucleotides long. RefSeq lists it as uncharacterized. Lineage: Eukaryota; Metazoa; Chordata; Actinopteri; Pleuronectiformes; Soleidae. The record is from RefSeq and is a predicted model, not a curated record. The transcript is spliced from 3 exons.